This 488-nucleotide ribosomal RNA is filed under the name uncultured bacterium. Its description in RNAcentral is "bacterial SSU rRNA". It matches the Rfam family "Bacterial small subunit ribosomal RNA", at positions 30 to 524 of the family's 1533-position model. The record is from RNAcentral.
AUUGAACGCUGGCGGCAUGCCUAACACAUGCAAGUCGAACGGGGUAGCAAUACCCAGUGGCGGACGGGUGAGGAAUACAUAGGAAUUUGCCUUUAGGUGGGGGAUAGCCCGGGGAAACUCGGAGUAAUACCGCAUGAUGUCGAAAGACCAAAGUAGGGGAUCGCAAGACCUUGCGCCUUUAGAGAAGCCUAUGUCUGAUUAGCUAGUUGGUAGGGUAAUGGCCUACCAAGGCGACGANCAGUAACUGGUCUGAGAGGACGAUCGGCCACACUGGAACUGAGACACGGUCCAGACUCCUACGGGAGGCAGCAGUGGGGAAUUUUUCGCAAUGGGGGCAACCCUGACGAAGCAACGCCGCGUGGGGGAUGAAGGUCUUCGGAUUGUAAACCCCUGUCGACCGGGACGAAUGUAGAACGGCUAAUACGCGAGCUAUUGACUGUACCGGUGGAGGAAGCCACGGCUAACUCUGUGCCAGCAGCCGCAGUAAC